This is a long non-coding RNA of Mytilus trossulus (common blue mussel), 176 nucleotides long. RefSeq lists it as uncharacterized. The record is from RefSeq and is a predicted model, not a curated record. Lineage: Eukaryota; Metazoa; Mollusca; Bivalvia; Mytilida; Mytilidae. The transcript has 3 exons.
CAGCUUUCAACCUGGGUAUGCUGGGUUUAGUUAUUUCCCAGUUCGAGAAGACCAAAGGUGUAAUUUGAACCAAACGACUCUUAGAAGAUAUGCUUCUACUAGUAAUAUAUCAACAGCGCCAACAACAUCAGAUUAUGUUUCACAAAGGGGAAUGAAUCGGUCGUCGCAGGAUAGUA